This 503-nucleotide ribosomal RNA is filed under the name uncultured bacterium. RNAcentral's name for it is "partial 16S ribosomal RNA". It matches the Rfam family "Bacterial small subunit ribosomal RNA", at positions 30 to 523 of the family's 1533-position model. The record is from RNAcentral.
AUUGAACGCUGGCGGCAGGCUUAACACAUGCAAGUCGAGCGAGGUGAUGGUGCUUGCACUAUCACUUAGCGGCGGACGGGUGAGUAAUGCUUAGGAAUCUGCCUAUUAGUGGGGGACAACAUCUCGAAAGGGAUGCUAAUACCGCAUACGUCCUACGGGAGAAAGCAGGGGAUCACUUGUGACCUUGCGCUAAUAGAUGAGCCUAAGUCGGAUUAGCUAGUUGGUGGGGUAAAGGCCUACCAAGGCGACGAUCUGUAGCGGGUCUGAGAGAAUGAUCCGCCACACUGGGACUGAGACACGGCCCAGACUCCUACGGGAGGCAGCAGUGGGGAAUAUUGGACAAUGGGGGGAACCCUGAUCCAGCCAUGCCGCGUGUGUGAAGAAGGCCUUAUGGUUGUAAAGCACUUUAAGCGAGGAGGAGGCUCUUUUGGUUAAUACCCAAGAUGAGUGGACGUUACUCGCAGAAUAAGCACCGGCUAACUCUGUGCCAGCCGCCGCAGUAA